GGCUGGUCCAAAGGUAGUGAGUUAUCUCAAUGAAUUGUUGACUGUCAGUUACUGAUCAAACUCCUUGUUUACCCUUUUACCUCUUCUCACUACUGUAGUUGGCUAGUCUUAA
This is an unclassified non-coding RNA of Aotus nancymaae (Ma's night monkey), 112 nucleotides long. It matches the Rfam family "Y RNA". Rfam says of the family: Y RNAs are components of the Ro ribonucleoprotein particle (Ro RNP), in association with Ro60 and La proteins. The Y RNAs and Ro60 and La proteins are well conserved, but the function of the Ro RNP is not known. In humans the RNA component can be one of four small RNAs -- hY1, hY3, hY4 and hY5. The record is from Ensembl. NCBI's taxonomy places the organism in Eukaryota, Metazoa, Chordata, Mammalia, Primates, Aotidae.